CAUCAUUGCAACGACUUGAGAUAAGAACUCUUGAUGAAUGGCAAUUCGACUUUGAUACCAGCUCAGGUGUUAAGAUAACCAAAUGUCAUCUGUCUUCUGAGAUGACUGCACGAAUGUGGUCCUGUUUGAGAUCCUUCA
This is a long non-coding RNA of Lytechinus variegatus (green sea urchin), 138 nucleotides long. RefSeq lists it as uncharacterized. The transcript has 3 exons. Lineage: Eukaryota; Metazoa; Echinodermata; Echinoidea; Temnopleuroida; Toxopneustidae. The record is from RefSeq and is a predicted model, not a curated record.